Molecule: ribosomal RNA, 253 nt
Filed under: uncultured bacterium
Lineage: Bacteria
Description: partial 16S ribosomal RNA
Rfam family: Bacterial small subunit ribosomal RNA
Source: RNAcentral
GACGUAGGGUGCAAGCGUUGUCCGGAUUUACUGGGCGUAAAGAGCGCGCAGGCGGUCGUUCAAGUCGCGUGUGAAAGCCCCCGGCUCAACUGGGGAGGGUCACGCGAUACUGAUCGACUCGAAGGCAGGAGAGGGUAGUGGAAUUCCCGGUGUAGUGGUGAAAUGCGUAGAUAUCGGGAGGAACACCAGUGGCGAAGGCGACUACCUGGCCUGUUCUUGACGCUGAGGCGCGAAAGCUAGGGGAGCAAACGGG